Molecule: transfer RNA, 72 nt
Filed under: Candidatus Vogelbacteria bacterium RIFOXYD1_FULL_46_19
Lineage: Bacteria; Candidatus Vogeliibacteriota
Description: tRNA-Arg
Rfam family: tRNA
About the family: Transfer RNA (tRNA) molecules are approximately 80 nucleotides in length. Their secondary structure includes four short double-helical elements and three loops (D, anti-codon, and T loops). Further hydrogen bonds mediate the characteristic L-shaped molecular structure. tRNAs have two regions of fundamental functional importance: the anti-codon, which is responsible for specific mRNA codon recognition, and the 3' end, to which the tRNAs corresponding amino acid is attached (by aminoacyl-tRNA synthetases). tRNAs cope with the degeneracy of the genetic code in two manners: having more than one tRNA (with a specific anti-codon) for a particular amino acid; and 'wobble' base-pairing, i.e. permitting non-standard base-pairing at the 3rd anti-codon position.
Source: RNAcentral
GCUCUCGUGGUGAAAUGGAUAUCACAACGGUCUUCGGAACCGUCGUUGGGGGUUCGAGUCCCUCCGAGAGCA